Molecule: ribosomal RNA, 466 nt
Filed under: Staphylococcus aureus
Lineage: Bacteria; Bacillati; Bacillota; Bacilli; Caryophanales; Staphylococcaceae
Description: bacterial SSU rRNA
Rfam family: Bacterial small subunit ribosomal RNA
Source: RNAcentral
GCUCAGGAUGAACGCUGGCGGCGUGCCUAAUACAUGCAAGUCGAGCGAACGGACGAGAAGCUUGCUUCUCUGAUGUUAGCGGCGGACGGGUGAGUAACACGUGGAUAACCUACCUAUAAGACUGGGAUAACUUCGGGAAACCGGAGCUAAUACCGGAUAAUAUUUUGAACCGCAUGGUUCAAAAGUGAAAGACGGUCUUGCUGUCACUUAUAGAUGGAUCCGCGCUGCAUUAGCUAGUUGGUAAGGUAACGGCUUACCAAGGCAACGAUGCAUAGCCGACCUGAGAGGGUGAUCGGCCACACUGGAACUGAGACACGGUCCAGACUCCUACGGGAGGCAGCAGUAGGGAAUCUUCCGCAAUGGGCGAAAGCCUGACGGAGCAACGCCGCGUGAGUGAUGAAGGUCUUCGGAUCGUAAAACUCUGUUAUUAGGGAAGAACAUAUGUGUAAAGUAACUGUGCACAUCU